GCCGGGUGUGGUGGCACACACCUGUAAUCCCAGCUACUCAGGAGGCUGAGGCAGGAGAAUCGCUUGCACCUGGGAGGCAGAAGUUGCAGUGAGCUGAGAUCACACCAUUGCACUCCAGCCUGGGUGACAGAGCGAGACUCUGUCUCAA
This 148-nucleotide non-coding RNA is filed under the name Homo sapiens (human). The record is from Rfam by way of RNAcentral. Lineage: Eukaryota; Metazoa; Chordata; Mammalia; Primates; Hominidae.